AUGCAGGAAGAAUGUGUACCUGGGCCAUCGUUUAUUCUUCCAACCAACCAUCAAUGUCGAAAGAAAGGAAAGCAUUUCAAAGGCGAGGCAGAUCACCGAAAGAAGCCCGCCAUGUGUACCGGUGAUCACGUACUUGCUAUGGUCAAUGAUUUACACGUAAUCUUUGGAAAGGGUCCCGACGGACUAGCUGUUCUGAAUGACGCUGAGGGACACACACCCAUGUGGAAGAAGAAAUCUAUAUUUUGGGACCUACCCAACUUGAAAGACAUAGAGGUCCACUCUUCAAUCGACGUGAUGCACGUGACGAAGAACCUUUGCAUGAACCUGCUAGGCUUCUUGGGCGUGUAUGGGAAGACAAAAGAUACACCUGAGGCACGGGAGGACCUGAAACAUUUGCACGAAAAAGACGGCAUGCCUCCGAAGCAGUAUAAAGGUCCUGCCAGCUACGCUCUUAUGAAAGAAGAGAAAGAAAUCUUCUUUGAAUGCCUGCUCAGUAUGAAGGUCACGACUGGUUUCUUGUCGAAUAUAAAGGGAAUAAUAAAUAUGCCAGGGUAA
RNAcentral lists this ribosomal RNA (555 nucleotides) under Triticum aestivum (bread wheat). Its description in RNAcentral is "partial small subunit ribosomal RNA". Lineage: Eukaryota; Viridiplantae; Streptophyta; Magnoliopsida; Poales; Poaceae. The record is from RNAcentral.